RNAcentral lists this ribosomal RNA (460 nucleotides) under uncultured bacterium. Its description in RNAcentral is "partial 16S ribosomal RNA". It matches the Rfam family "Bacterial small subunit ribosomal RNA", at positions 338 to 795 of the family's 1533-position model. The record is from RNAcentral.
CCUACGGGAGGCAGCAGUGAGGAAUAUUGGUCAAUGGACGAGAGUCUGAACCAGCCAAGUAGCGUGAAGGAUGACCGCCCUAUGGGUUGUAAACUUCUUUUAUAUGGGAAUAAAAUGUUCCACGUGUGGGAUUUUGUAUGUACCAUAUGAAUAAGGAUCGGCUAACUCCGUGCCAGCAGCCGCGGUAAUACGGAGGAUUCGAGCGUUAUCCGGAUUUAUUGGGUUUAAAGGGAGCGUAGGUGGAUUGUUAAGUCAGUUGUGAAAGUUUGCGGCUCAACCGUAAAAUUGCAGUUGAAACUGGCAGUCUUGAGUACAGUAGAGGUAGGCGGAAUUCGUGGUGUAGCGGUGAAAUGCUUAGAUAUCACGAAGAACUCCGAUUGCGAAGGCAGUUCACUGGACUGCAACUGACGCUGAGGCUCGAAAGUGUGGGUAUCAAACAGGAUUAGAUACCCUAGUAGUC